RNAcentral lists this ribosomal RNA (301 nucleotides) under uncultured bacterium. RNAcentral's name for it is "partial 16S ribosomal RNA". It matches the Rfam family "Bacterial small subunit ribosomal RNA", at positions 509 to 809 of the family's 1533-position model. The record is from RNAcentral.
CAGUCGCCGCGGGAACACGUAGGGCGCAAGCGUUGUCCGGAAUUAUUGGGCGUAAAGAGCUCGUAGGCGGUCUGUCGCGUCUGGUGUGAAAUCCCGAGGCUCAACCUCGGGCUUGCAUCGGGUACGGGCAGACUAGAGUGCGGUAGGGGAGACUGGAAUUCCUGGUGUAGCGGUGGAAUGCGCAGAUAUCAGGAGGAACACCGAUGGCGAAGGCAGGUCUCUGGGCCGCAACUGACGCUGAGGAGCGAAAGCAUGGGGAGCGAACAGGAUUAGAUACCCCUGUAGUCCCUGUCUCUUAUAA